Molecule: long non-coding RNA, 487 nt
Filed under: Equus caballus (horse)
Lineage: Eukaryota; Metazoa; Chordata; Mammalia; Perissodactyla; Equidae
Description: lncRNA (ENSECAG00000048578.1)
Source: RNAcentral
CCUAAACCGGGUGUAAAGCGGACCUCGCACCUCCUUCUGCUUCAGGUCCCCCCCUGCCUGGGGGACAUCCAGGGUCGAAGGUCCCUGCGUCGGGGCUUCUGGGCACUGUACACAAUCACUUUCAUCAGCCGCUGCCUACUUAAUGGGCAGGAAAGAGCAUUUCCUUUUAGAUUUAUCUAGGCGACCCGAGAAGAUGCCGCUCGGAAGAUAGCUGGGGUUCCUGUUCGACGUCUUCAGGAGCUGGCUGAGCCGCGCAGUCUUCCUCUGCAGUCUCUGGCCGCCUCCAUUGCGAUUCCCAACCCACCCGAGGAGAGGACGGACCCAGUAGCUGAGACGAAAUGGCUUGGGCUUGCUCUGCAUCGUGCUGAUACGAUCAAAGGGAAUAGCCGGGGGUUUCUGAGAGCCCAGCUAUUUGGAUCAUUCAUGAUUUGCUGCCAUUGUGAACACUCUUAAUGCGAGAACUCUGCCACAGAAAUGCUGAUUAAUA